GUGUCAGCCGCCGCGGUAAUACGGAGGGUGCAAGCGUUAUCCGGAUUCACUGGGUUUAAAGGGUGCGUAGGUGGGAAUGUAAGUCAGUGGUGAAAUCUCCGUGCUUAACAUGGAAACUGCCAUUGAUACUAUGUUUCUUGAAUCUUCCGGAGGUCAGCGGAAUAUGUCAUGUAGCGGUGAAAUGCUUAGAUAUGACAUAGAACACCAAUUGCGAAGGCAGCUGACUACAGGAGCAUUGACACUGAGGCACGAAAGCGUGGGGAUCAAACAGGAUUAGAUACCCCCGUAGUCC
Molecule: ribosomal RNA, 292 nt
Filed under: uncultured bacterium
Lineage: Bacteria
Description: partial 16S ribosomal RNA
Rfam family: Bacterial small subunit ribosomal RNA
Source: RNAcentral